AACAUCGCCUUUUGAAUAUAUAGAAGGUCUAACCUGCCCACUGAGGAAAUUGAAGGGCCGCGGUAUUUUGACCGUGCAAAGGUAGCAUAAUCAUUAGUCUUCUAAUUAAAGGCUGGAAUGAAUGGUUGGACGAGGUGCUUGCUGUCUCGUUAAAGUAGAUUGAAUUUAACUUCUUAGUUAAAAGGCUGAGAUGAAGUUGAGGGACGAGAAGACCCUAUAAAGCUUUAUAAAUAUAUUUAUGUUAAAUGUGGGCGAGAUUUUUGAUGUAGGUGGAUUUAUUGUGUUGGGGUGACAGGAAAAUAGAAGAACUUUUCAUUAUACUACACUGAUUGGUGAUUUAAUGGUCCAAUAUUAUUGAUUAUAAGAUUAAGUUACUUUAGGGAUAACAGCGUAAUUCUUUUAGAGAGUUCUAAUCGAUAAAAGGGUUUGCGACCUCGAUGUUGGACUAAGGGAAAUUUUGGGUGUAGAUGUUCAAAGUUUAAGUCUGUUCGACUUUUGAAACCUUACAUGAUC
RNAcentral lists this ribosomal RNA (513 nucleotides) under Proboscidoplocia sp. BYU IGCEP162. Its description in RNAcentral is "partial 16S ribosomal RNA". It matches the Rfam family "Bacterial large subunit ribosomal RNA", at positions 1812 to 2605 of the family's 2925-position model. Lineage: Eukaryota; Metazoa; Arthropoda; Insecta; Ephemeroptera; Euthyplociidae. The record is from RNAcentral.